UGAUCGCGUUGUAUAGCAAUCUAUACUGUGAAACUGCGAAUGGCUCAUUAAAUCAGUUAUCGUUUAUUUGAUAGUACCUUACUACUUGGAUAACCGUGGUAAUUCUAGAGCUAAUACAUGCUAAAAACCCCGACUUCGGAAGGGGUGUAUUUAUUAGAUAAAAAACCAAUGCCCUUCGGGGCUCCUUGGUGAUUCAUGAUAACUUAACGAAUCGCAUGGCCUUGCGCCGGCGAUGGUUCAUUCAAAUUUCUGCCCUAUCAACUUUCGAUGGUAGGAUAGUGGCCUACCAUGGUAUCAACGGGUAACGGGGAAUUAGGGUUCUAUUCCGGAGAGGGAGCCUGAGAAACGGCUACCACAUCCAAGGAAGGCAGCAGGCGCGCAAAUUACCCAAUCCCGACACGGGGAGGUAGUGACAAUAAAUACUGAUACAGGGCUCUUUUGGGUCUUGUAAUUGGAAUGAGUACAAUUUAAAUACCUUAACGAGGAACAAUUGGAGGGCAAGUCUGGUGCCAGCAGCCGCGGUAAUUCCAGCUCCAAUAGCGUAUAUUAAAGUUGUUGCAGUUAAAAAGCUCGUAGUUGAACCUUGGGCCUGGCUGGCCGGUCCGCCUCACCGCGUGUACUGGUCCGGCCGGGCCUUUCCUUCUGGGGAUCCUCAUGCCCUUCACUGGGUGGUGCUGGGGAACCAGGACUUUUACUUUGAAAAAAUUAGAGUGUUCAAAGCAGGCCUUUGCUCGAAUACAUUAGCAUGGAAUAAUAGAAUAGGGACGUGCGGUCCUAUUUUUGUUGGUUUCUAGGACCGCCGUAAUGAUUAAUAGGGGAUAGUCGGGGGCAUCAGUAUUCAAUUGUCAGAGGUGAAAUUCUUGGAUUUAUUGAAGACUAACUACUGCGAAAGCAUUUGCCAAGGAUGUUUUCAUUAAUCAGUGAACGAAAGUUAGGGGAUCGAAAAGAUCAGAUACCGUCGUAGCCUAACCGUAACUAUGCCGACAGGGGAUCGGGCGAUGUAUUCUUUUGACUCGUCCGGACCUUACAAAAU
This 1033-nucleotide ribosomal RNA is filed under the name Botryosphaeria dothidea. Its description in RNAcentral is "SSU rRNA". It matches the Rfam family "Eukaryotic small subunit ribosomal RNA", at positions 64 to 1098 of the family's 1831-position model. Lineage: Eukaryota; Fungi; Ascomycota; Dothideomycetes; Botryosphaeriales; Botryosphaeriaceae. The record is from RNAcentral.